AUCUCGGUGCGGUGCUUGGCGAGGCCGUCGUAAUUGCAGGUGAUGGUGCCGGCGCCGAUGUUGGCGCCGGCGCCGAUGGUGGCGUCGCCGAGAUA
Molecule: transfer RNA, 95 nt
Filed under: Caldovatus sediminis
Lineage: Bacteria; Pseudomonadati; Pseudomonadota; Alphaproteobacteria; Acetobacterales; Roseomonadaceae
Description: tRNA-Cys
Source: RNAcentral